Panicum virgatum (switchgrass) is the source of this 1757-nucleotide long non-coding RNA. RefSeq lists it as uncharacterized. NCBI's taxonomy places the organism in Eukaryota, Viridiplantae, Streptophyta, Magnoliopsida, Poales, Poaceae. The record is from RefSeq and is a predicted model, not a curated record. The transcript has 5 exons.
ACCACCCCACACCCCCUGUGGUGCCCGAAGCAGUUUUCUUCCCCCCAGCUCGCCAUUCGUUUUCCGACGCCGCUCCGCCGUUCAUCCUGUCGUUCCCCAGCUUGCGAUUCGUUUCCCGACGCCGCUCCGCCGAUCCGGGGACUGGCGCCGCCCACCGCCAGUUGCUUGCCAGCCCCUGCGUUCCCGACACUGCCGUUGCCCUCACCAUCGACCAGGAGAGCAGCGCCGCGCCCCUGCCGCCACCGUUGCCCUCGUCGUCGAUCUCGCGUCACACCCGGCAACAAGCUUCCCCCCAGCCCCCGCCCGAUCCGGCGCCUGACUUCCCGACCAUGGAGGCCCCGAGCUUGUAUCCUGUCGGCAGUUUUCCAUCUUCCCAUCCUGAUCUCACCUCGGUUCGGAGAUAGAUUCAUGGCAUUGAAGAUUGGCGGUGCCAGGUUGUUCUUACGCGACUGCAGGUUCCUAUCUUUUUCCUUUGCCGUGGAUUUGACUGGAUAAAUGAGAUGUGAAGCCCUCCUGUGCAAGGUUAUUCUUUUUCAGGAUGAAUUCUCGAAGAAGAUUAAUGCACGUGAUUCAUAUCAAUGCUAGGAGGGUGGUCUUUGAGAGCUCCACGAGGUGUUUGUGGUUCCCCUCCAUGAUCAGGGAGGGCUGGUUGCAGGGAUGUCAAAGUCAGAAGAAUGGUGGGAAAUGUUGUACUAGACUUAAUAUUAGGUGCAACCCUGGAGAUGUGGUAUUCAGAAUUCAAUUGCUCAAUCCUGAUCAGUAUGUGACCAUCGAGGCUCUCGGUUUUGGUCACCUGGAUGGAAGCAGAAGAUUCAGGACCUGCAGGAGGAGAUACUGAAGGGACGAUCGGACAACCUUAGCUGCGCCCUUCUUCAUGAUUCUUUUGAACUGGUUUUUGUUCCCCACAAGUAGCUAUAGCAUUGAUUUGAGCCACAUCAAAAGGGCGCAUCCUGAAACUUUCUGUGGAAUAGACUGGGCCCAAGCUGUAUUCAAUGAUAUUCAGUUUGCAGUUUGUAGAUGGCAAACAAUUGUCCCAAACAAUUUAUGGCUGUGCUUGUCUCCUGAUCUGAAGUUUUCUCCGGACCGAAUUAGGUGCAGGGAUAGAACCGAUAUGUACAGCUUCCUACCAGUUAAUCGUUCUUCAAAUUUGAUUGCUAGUCCAAAUAUUUAGAUUUUUUUCCUUUUUGUAUCUGAUGAACUCAUAUUGGAUUGUGAAUUGCAGUUUAAGACCUGGGCAAGCACUUGUUACGUUGCAGCUAAUAGUGCACUGGAUGAAUUUUGCAAAUGGACAUGAAGUGCAUCAGAGAAGGUGACAGUCUAGUGGUGAAGGCUUGCUCAAGACAUGGGCACAACCAAUAGCAUCUCAAACUCUGUGGCUAGGAAAGGCUUAAAUAGGCGCUUCUGUUUUGUGGCAUUGAGGCAACACAAGGACAUUGAGUCAAAUCAUGAAUUAUUAUAUUGUUGUAUGGUAAAGAGUCUUUCACUUCGGUUGAUAGGAAUUCCAGUGGUUGAGUUCUGGGAAAUUGAUUUGCGAAGUCCAGUCAAGAGCAUCUAGGUGGGGAUGUAAAGUACAUGGGCCUGGUAUCCAUAUCCGCCAGUAGCAUAGUGCACAUUUUUCCUUGUGACGAAUCCAGUAUUUGGUGCAACAGAUAUUCGCUGUCUGAUCAUACUAGCCAACUUUUCCUGUAACAUUUAUUUCACUAUUUACUGUCUCGUCAAUUUAGUAAAGCAUAAACAUUUCUGUUUUGGAAUGUAAA